GAAGUUGGACAGACAGUCGCCGCGUGCUUGCACGGGGAGGAAAGUCCGGGCUCCGCAGGGCAGGAUGCUGGCUAACGGCCAGGCGCCGCGAGGCGACGGAAAGUGGAACAGAGAGCUGAACCGCCGAUGGCCGCAGUAACCGCAAGGGUGCUGUAGCACAGGCAAGGGUGAAAAGGUGCGGUAAGAGCGCACCGCGGACGCAGUAAUGCGCACGGCAGGCUAAACCCCAUCCGGAGCAAGACCAAAUAGGGGUACAUUGGCGUGGCCCGCGCUGUACCCGGGUAGGUUGCUUGAGCUUGUCGGUAACGGCAAGACUAGAGGAAUGACUGUCCAACGACAAAACCCGGCUUAUCGGCCAACUUCCCGC
Molecule: RNase P RNA, 367 nt
Filed under: Vogesella sp.
Lineage: Bacteria; Pseudomonadati; Pseudomonadota; Betaproteobacteria; Neisseriales; Chromobacteriaceae
Also listed under: 1 other name
Description: RNase P RNA component class A
Rfam family: Bacterial RNase P class A
About the family: Ribonuclease P (RNase P) is a ubiquitous endoribonuclease, found in archaea, bacteria and eukarya as well as chloroplasts and mitochondria. Its best characterised activity is the generation of mature 5'-ends of tRNAs by cleaving the 5'-leader elements of precursor-tRNAs.
Source: RNAcentral